GGGACCCGCACAAGCAGCGGAGCGUGUGGUUUAAUUCGUUGCUACACGAAGAACCUUACCUGGGUUUGACAUAUAGGUUGUAGGGAACUGAAAAGGGACCGACCCUUCGGGGAGCCUAUACAGGUGUUGCAUGGCUGUCGUCAGCUCGUGUCGUGAGAUGUUCGGUUAAGUCCGCUAACGAGCGCAACCCUCGUCGUAUGUUAUAUGUGUCAUACGAGACUGCCGGUAAAAAGCCGGAGGAAGGUGAGGAUGAUGUCAAGUCAGCAUGACCUUUAUAUCCAGGGCUACACACACGCUACAAUGGUCUGUACAAUGGGUAGCCAAGCCGCGAGGCGGAGCCAAUCCUGAAAGCAGGCCUCAGUUCAGAUUGCAGUCUGCAACUCGACUGCAUGAAGCCGGAGUUGCUAGUAACCGCAGGUCAGCAAUACUGCGGUGAAUACGUUCCCGGGUCUU
Molecule: ribosomal RNA, 453 nt
Filed under: uncultured Anaerolineaceae bacterium
Lineage: Bacteria; Bacillati; Chloroflexota; Anaerolineae; Anaerolineales; Anaerolineaceae
Description: bacterial SSU rRNA
Rfam family: Bacterial small subunit ribosomal RNA
Source: RNAcentral